UAGGGAAUAUUGGACAAUGGGUGCGAGCCUGAUCCAGCCAUGCCGCGUGCAGGAAGAAGGCCUUCUGGGUUGUAAACUGCUUUUAUCUGGGGAUAAAAUACCCGUGCGCGGGUCAUUGAAGGUACCAGAGGAAUAAGCCACGGCUAACUACGUGCCAGCAGCCGCGGUAAUACGUAGGUGGCAAGCGUUGUCCGGAUUUAUUGGGUUUAAAGGGUGCGUAGGCGGUCUGUUAAGUCAGUGGUGAAAUACGGCAGCUUAACUGUCGAGGUGCCAUUGAUACUGGCGGACUUGAGUACUGAUGAGGUAGGCGGAAUGGACGGUGUAGCGGUGAAAUGCAUAGAUAUCGUCCAGAACACCGAUAGCGAAGGCAGCUUACUAAGGAGUAACUGACGCUGAGGCA
RNAcentral lists this ribosomal RNA (400 nucleotides) under uncultured bacterium. RNAcentral describes it as "bacterial SSU rRNA". It matches the Rfam family "Bacterial small subunit ribosomal RNA", at positions 355 to 753 of the family's 1533-position model. The record is from RNAcentral.